GCUACCGGUGCUCCGGGGCCACCCCCAGCCCGGAGCGCGGGGCCCCUAGCCCGCGGGCGCCGCCGAUCGGGGGCAGGUCCCGCCGCCCGCUUCCGGACGGGCCGUGCCGACGGAGCCGGGGUUCCUUUCGCCUUCCAGCGCAAACUGCUACCGGCCCCGUGGGGUGGGGGAACUUGCACUUUCUACACACGCACACACGCACGCACCGACAUACAGAGCCCUCCAAAGUAUGAGAGAUCGGGAUUUAAAAACGUAGGAUCCCGGGCCCUUCCCGAGCUCUUUGCGCCGGCGCCCCCUCUUGCACUGCCCCGGCGGCGGCCCGCGCCAGUCCGCGUCGCUGAUCUGUGUUCUCCCUCCGGCCUUCACAAGGCGGGCGUGGAGUCUGCGAGUGUCGGGGGAGGGGUGCAGGGCGGAGAAAGAGCAUCCCCGCGCCGCCGCUGCGGCGGCGGCCGCCGCCGGCCGGCUGGGGGAGGCCUCGUCACAGCCGCCGCCUCAGCAGCGGCCGCAGAUCUCGCGGUGUUUGCCGGCGGCUGCGCCGCCAUAUUGUGUGACAGUAUUUUGAUUUGCACUGGGCUGGCGGAGCCGCGGCGAGAGCGAGCGAGAGCUGGGGGGUGGGGGGAGGGCAGGCGAGCGCGAGGGGGGUGGGGGCAGAGGGAGGUAGGGAGGCCGAGCGAGCCGGAGCCGAGGAGCGGGGAGCGGCGACGCCACCCAGCCAGCGUUUUUGAUCUGCAGCAGCCGCCGGCGGGGCGACCCAGCCCGACCCCCUCCCCUCCCCUCCCCCUCAGCCACGAGCGGCGGCGGCGGCGGCCGGAGGGAGUUGGCGGCGGCGGCCGAUCGGAGGGGCUGAGCGGGGAGGGAGGGAGGGCUGAGGUGUCCCCCCUGCCGGGUGGAAUCGGAGGCGGCGGCGGCGCUGGCGGCGGCCGUGGUGGUGGAGGCGGCAGCGGCGACGGUGGAGACGGCUGCCCUAGUGGGAGAGGCGGCGGCGGCGGCCGAGGAGGAGGAGGGGGAAGCGGCGGCGGCGAAGGGUAA
This 1029-nucleotide long non-coding RNA is filed under the name Felis catus (domestic cat). RNAcentral's name for it is "lncRNA (ENSFCAG00000047213.1)". The record is from RNAcentral. Lineage: Eukaryota; Metazoa; Chordata; Mammalia; Carnivora; Felidae.